Triticum urartu is the source of this 124-nucleotide non-coding RNA. NCBI's taxonomy places the organism in Eukaryota, Viridiplantae, Streptophyta, Magnoliopsida, Poales, Poaceae. The record is from Rfam.
AUUCUACUCCCUCCGUCCAAAAAUACUUGUCUUAGAAAUGGAUAAAAUGGAUGUAUUUAUAACUAAAAUAAGUCUAGAUACAAGCAUUCCUAAGACAAGUAUUUCCGGACGGAGGGAGUACAUU